RNAcentral lists this ribosomal RNA (507 nucleotides) under uncultured Glomeromycotina. RNAcentral's name for it is "SSU rRNA". It matches the Rfam family "Eukaryotic small subunit ribosomal RNA", at positions 569 to 1077 of the family's 1831-position model. Lineage: Eukaryota; Fungi; Glomeromycota. The record is from RNAcentral.
AGCAGCCGCGGUAAUUCCAGCUCCAAUAGCGUAUAUUAAAGUUGUUGCAGUUAAAAAGCUCGUAGUUGAAUUUCGGGGUUAGUAGGUUGGUCAUGCCUCUGGUAUGUACUGGUCUCACUGAUUCCUCCUUCCUGAUGAGCCGUAAUGCCAUUAAUUUGGUGUUGCGGGGAAUUUGGACUGUUACUUUGAAAAAAUUAGAGUGUUUAAAGCAAGCUAACGCUUGAAUACAUUAGCAUGGAAUAAUGAAAUAGGACGUUUGAUUCUAUUUUGUUGGUUUCUAGGAUCGACGUAAUGAUUAAUAGGGAUAGUUGGGGGCAUUAGUAUUCAAUUGUCAGAGGUGAAAUUCUUGGAUUUAUUGAAGACUAACUACUGCGAAAGCAUUUGCCAAGGAUGUUUUCAUUAAUCAAGAACGAAAGUUAGGGGAUCGAAGACGAUCAGAUACCGUCGUAGUCUUAACCAUAAACUAUGCCGACUAGGGAUCGGAUGAUGUUAAUUUUUUAAUGACUC